RNAcentral lists this ribosomal RNA (431 nucleotides) under uncultured bacterium. RNAcentral's name for it is "partial 16S ribosomal RNA". It matches the Rfam family "Bacterial small subunit ribosomal RNA", at positions 29 to 507 of the family's 1533-position model. The record is from RNAcentral.
AACGAACGCUGGCGGCAGGCUUAACACAUGCAAGUCGAGCGCCCCGCAAGGGGAGCGGCAGACGGGUGAGUAACGCGUGGGAACGUACCUUUUGGUUCGGAACAACUCCGGGAAACUGGAGCUAAUACCGGAUAAGCCCUAACGGGGAAAGAUUUAUCGCCGAAAGAUCGGCCCGCGUCUGAUUAGCUAGUUGGUGAGGUAACGGCUCACCAAGGCGACGAUCAGUAGCUGGUCUGAGAGGAUGAUCAGCCACACUGGGACUGAGACACGGCCCAGACUUCUACGGGAGGCAGCAGUGGGGAAUAUUGGACAAUGGGCGCAAGCCUGAUCCAGCCAUGCCGCGUGAGUGAUGAAGGCCUUAGGGUUGUAAAGCUCUUUUGUCCGGGAAGAUAAUGACUGUACCGGAAGAAUAAGCCCCGGCUAACUUUGUG